CGGUGCUGGGAGGCGUGAGAGUUCGGGCAUGGGAGACGGCGUUUGCGCCUGCGCAUCACCUUGAGUUCUGUUGAAGGCAACGCGGAGGCGGGGGCGGGGGCAAGGCUGGAGUGGAGAAGGCGCGGCGAGAGGAAGCCUUGCUCCUGGUGUUUUUUUAUCUCUGGGUACGUGGUGGAGCUGUACGCCCCUCUGGGAUCCUCCCUAUCUCUCAUGAGCGAGGGUCAGCUGGUCCCGCUCACAACAAGAAUGUCCUCUACAGUCUACUCAACCAAAAGACAUCCUGCCUUUUCCGGCCGACGGGCGUGUAGAGCUCUGGUUUACCAAGCGCUUUACACGUACCAUCUCAUUUGAUCCUCGAGCCUGUGAGGUAUCAGCACUAUAUUUGUUUCAUAAAAGUAGCUUGAUUCGUCAGCCUUCUUGAGGGAUCACACUGCUCACCUCCUGGUUUGAGGAAGGGGCUAGAAAAGGCUUAUUCUUCUCCUGGAAGAUGGUCAUCCACUUGAGAUCCAGUGCAGUUUCAGAAAGGGCUGAGGAGCUGAUUUGGUGUUUGCUGCCCAACUCUGGAAAAAAAUAGCAGAAGCAAAACAAAGGCCAAACUGACAUUUGUCAGUAUGACCAAGGCCAGUCAUGAGGGCUUGUGGAAAAUUAUGUCAAAUUUUGGUUGCCUGGAGAAGUUCAUCAAUAUUGUAUGUCAAUUUCAUGAUGGCAUGCUUGCAUGGGUUCUGGUUGACAGACAAAGCUCUUGCACUUUCCCAGUCACUAAUGGAGUGAAACAAGGCUGUGUGUUUACUUUCAUGCUUUUUAGCAUGAUGUUUUCCAUGAUGUUGUGAAAUGCCUUCAACAAGCAUGAAAAUGGCAUCAAGGUCAGCUACUGCAGUGAUGGUAAAUUAUUUAACUUGAAAAGGCAACAAGCCAAGACUAAAGUGGAAGGAGAAUUGGUGCAUGAUUUUUUGUUUGCAGAUGACUGUACACUCACUGUAGUCUCCAAAGUUGAAAUGCAACAAAGUAUGAAUCAGUUCUUUGCUGCUUGUGCUAAUUUUGGCCUAACAAUUAAUACCAAGAAAAUAACAGGUUUUCUACCAGUCGGCACUAUGACAUCUAUAUAUGGAACCACCAGUUAUGGCAAUGGAGAAAUUUUGAAUACUGUGGAUAAGUUCACUUAUCUUAGCAAUAUAUUUUCUAGGGAUGUAUAGGUGGAUGAAGAGGUUGAUGGACAUAUUGCCAGAGCUAGCUCUGUGUUUGAGAGACUCCAAAGGAAAAUGAGGGAGAGAAGAGGUAUUAGCCUGCCUACCAAACUGAAAGUCUACAGAGUUGUUGCGAUGACCUUAUUGUUGUAUGCCUGUGAAACCUGGACAGUAUACCAUGGCCAUACCAUGAAACUGAAUCACUUCCAUUUGAAUUGUCUUAGAAAGAUUCUGAAGAUCACAUGGCAAGAUAAGAUACCAGACACUGAGGUCCUUUCUAGAGCCAAACUGCCAAAUAUUCAAACUCUACUGUAGAGAGCAUAGCUCUGAUGGGCUGGUCAUGUUGUUUGAAUGCCAGACAUACAUUUUAGACUAGAAGACUAUUUUAUGGAGAACUCACACAAGGUAAGCACUCACAUGGAGGUCAGAAGAAGCAAUACAAGGUUCCUCUCAAAGU
Long non-coding RNA from Dromiciops gliroides (monito del monte), 1641 nucleotides. RefSeq lists it as uncharacterized. The transcript has 4 exons. NCBI's taxonomy places the organism in Eukaryota, Metazoa, Chordata, Mammalia, Microbiotheria, Microbiotheriidae. The record is from RefSeq and is a predicted model, not a curated record.